Long non-coding RNA from Apis cerana (Asiatic honeybee), 802 nucleotides. RefSeq lists it as uncharacterized. The record is from RefSeq and is a predicted model, not a curated record. NCBI's taxonomy places the organism in Eukaryota, Metazoa, Arthropoda, Insecta, Hymenoptera, Apidae.
UUUAAAAAUCAAAUGUAAUGUAUUCUUUAUUUAUUUAAAAUAAUAACGGCUUAAUAACUUCACAGAUAAAGAAAAAAAUUUUGUUCCAUUAAUAAUACAUCGAUGAGUAAAAUUUUUAAGAAUUACAAUUUUUAUUGUCAUAACAGUUGUUAUAAACGAUAAUGUUAUAUUGAUAUAACAUAAUAAUAAUAAAAAUUCACGGAACUGUAAUUAAAUCCAUAUUCAGCGAAAAAAUUUCACGUUCAAUAACAUAUAUAAUAACAUAUACAAGCAAAAAUUUCCUAGUAAAUUUGAAGGACUUUACGGUUUGUAUUGUAACGCGAUCGUUCGUUCGCACGCUCAGUCUCGUCGUGACUCUCGAUUAGUGCGCGUCUUUUUGUUUAAUCGCUCGAGAAUCUGAAACGUGAUUUAACGGUCGUGUGCAUUCGCGAAUUUGAUGUGGGUGGUUGCGAAUAUGGGUGGUUUAGGCGUAGAUUAAUAUCAUAUGCUAAUGUUGAUUUUACGUUGUCUGUUAGCAUACACGCGUGGGUUCCUAGUGUUUUUCUACGUGUAUCUACGUAUGUCCAGUGAUGAUCAAGAUUAGUUACCAGUGCGUGACCUCGUGUGUAUGUUUAAGAACGAAUUAUAAAUUUUCGUAUGGUAGUCUCUCGACAUAUAUUUACUGUAGAUAGACGAAACGCGAAACUCUUGGUCCGCUAUUGUCACUUACCACGCUGCCAAAUGGGCGUGCUGGCCGGAUUGCUGUCCACCUCGCAUUUCAAGCUGACGGACAUCCCCUCGACGAUCGGGAUUCCAAAACCAG